This 405-nucleotide ribosomal RNA is filed under the name Cyclocephala discolor. Its description in RNAcentral is "partial 12S ribosomal RNA". The record is from RNAcentral. Lineage: Eukaryota; Metazoa; Arthropoda; Insecta; Coleoptera; Scarabaeidae.
GAUACCCUAUUAUUUGAAAUGUAAAUUAUUAUGCUAGAGUAGUAGUAGUUAUGUUCUUGAAAUUCAAAAGAUCUGGCGGUAUUUUAGUCUAUUCAGAGGAACCUGUCCUGUAAUUGAUAAUCCACGAUUAAUUUAACUUAUUUUCAGUUUGUAUAUCGUCGUAGGUUGAAUGUUUUUAAAAAAAUUGUAAUGUUCAGGAUUUAUUUUAAUUAAAGAAAAUCAGAUCAAGAUACAGCGUAUAGAUGAGGAGAGAUGGGUUACAAUAAAUUUAUUUAUAUGGUUGAAAUAAUUAAAAUUAUUUUAUAAAGUGGAUUUGAUAGUAAUAUAAUUUAUUUAAAUUAUAUGAUUUAAGCUCUAAAAUAUGUACAUAUCGCCCGUCGCUCCUUCCUUAAAGAAGGAUAAGUC